Molecule: ribosomal RNA, 498 nt
Filed under: uncultured Bacillota bacterium
Lineage: Bacteria; Bacillati; Bacillota
Description: bacterial SSU rRNA
Rfam family: Bacterial small subunit ribosomal RNA
Source: RNAcentral
UAGGGAAUCUUCCGCAAUGGACGAAAGUCUGACGGAGCAACGCCGCGUGAGCGAAGAAGGCCUUGGUCGUAAAGCUCUGUUGUUAGGGAAGAACAAGUACGAGAGUAACUGCUCGUACCUUGACGGUACCUAACCAGAAAGCCACGGCUAACUACGUGCCAGCAGCCGCGGUAAUACGUAGGUGGCAAGCGUUGUCCGGAAUUAUUGGGCGUAAAGCGCGCGCAGGCGGUCCUUUAAGUCUGAUGUGAAAGCCCACGGCUCAACCGUGGAGGGUCAUUGGAAACUGGGGGACGUUGAGUGCAGAAGAGGAGAGUGGAAUUCCACGUGUAGCGGUGAAAUGCGUAGAGAUGUGGAGGAACACCAGUGGCGAAGGCGACUCUCUGGUCUGUAACUGACGCUGAGGCGCGAAAGCGUGGGGAGCAAACAGGAUUAGAUACCCUGGUAGUCCACGCCGUAAACGAUGAGUGCUAAGUGUUAGAGGGUUUCCGCCCUUUAGUG